GGACGUGUCAACACGGUGCAGAAAGCAGACUGUCUCGCGCUGUCAGUCACAGACGUUCUUACAGCUGUAGCAACAUUCCCUCAAGACGCCCCGAAAAACUUGUGUGUGACAGAGAGAGCUGACGUAGACUAAGAGCUUGGGAUUGGGUUGUAUUCGCCAUGUUUCCCUGUGUAAGUAUGGAGCAUUGUGAAAUGCUGUGGUAGUGAAUAAUAUGAAGAUUCAUUUUUAACUAAUGUUAGCAAUAUGUGCUUUUUGUAAGGUUCCAGUUUCUUCACAUUCUGAGGACGCGUCAGUAAAUCGUUUUUUCUGUGUUCAGAAAAUGCGCCAGUAACACAAUUCUGUUGGAAGGCUGAUCUUGUUGAUUGGCUCAGUCUAGUUGGUUUGAGUCCGAUUUCUUAAUGUGACUAAGGUAUGUGUUUAUCCUAUUCUAUGAUGUGUUCAACCCACAAUAUUGUGUUUUGUAAAUCUUUGAUGCCUUGCCAUUUAGCAUGUAUCUGGGGGUGUUCAUAAUGGACCAAAUAAUUUAUGGGUAUAGUUUGUUAAAAUAAUAGUUUUAUUCAGUGGGUAAUUUUGAAUAGCUUCUGUGUAAUUGUAUGUAACAUGACGAUUUGGUAUAUUUGUUUAUUUUAACAGAUCUCUUAUCUGUAUGUGCAUUGAGCCACAUAUGCCUAAGCUCUGCUGUUUUGCCUGCAUGGUUUUGUUUUAAUUUUUUUCUUUCUUUUUGCUUGCUGAUUUUGUUUGCUGGCUGGUGUGUUAAGCCACAGCUUGCUUGCUUGUAAUGCUUUCUACACUUGCUGGAGUCUCCUUCUCUCUCUUUUUUUUUUUUUUUUAGUUCAUUUUG
Molecule: long non-coding RNA, 841 nt
Organism: Myxocyprinus asiaticus (Chinese sucker)
Lineage: Eukaryota; Metazoa; Chordata; Actinopteri; Cypriniformes; Catostomidae
Exons: 3
Source: RefSeq, a predicted model, not a curated record